RNAcentral lists this ribosomal RNA (251 nucleotides) under uncultured bacterium. RNAcentral describes it as "partial 16S ribosomal RNA". It matches the Rfam family "Bacterial small subunit ribosomal RNA", at positions 524 to 776 of the family's 1533-position model. The record is from RNAcentral.
CACGUAGGUGGCAAGCGUUAUCCGGAAUCACUGGGCGUAAAGGGUCCGCAGGUGGGAUGGUACGUCUGAUGUGACAGCGCCUGGCUCAACUGGGCGUGGGCAUUGGAAACGGCUGUUCUUGAGUCACAGAGAGGGUGCGGAAUUCCGGGUGUAGUGGUGGAAUGCGUAGAGAUCCGGAGGAACACCAAAGGCGCAAGCAGCACCCUGGCUGAGGACUGACACUGAGGACGAAGGCGUGGGGAGCGAACAGG